AUUGAACGCUGGCGGCAUGCCUUACACAUGCGAGUCGAACGGCAGCACGGGAGCAAUCCUGGUGGCGAGUGGCGAACGGGUGAGUAAUAUAUCGGAACGUGCCCAGUCGUGGGGAUAACGUAGCGAAAGCUACGCUAAUACCGCAUACGAUCUAUGGAUGAAAGCGGGGGAUCGCAAGACCUCGCGCGAUUGGAGCGGCCGAUAUCAGAUUAGGUAGUUGGUGAGGUAAAGGCUCACCAAGCCGACGAUCUGUAGCUGGUCUGAGAGGACGACCAGCCACACUGGGACUGAGACACGGCCCAGACUCCUACGGGA
This 315-nucleotide ribosomal RNA is filed under the name uncultured bacterium. Its description in RNAcentral is "bacterial SSU rRNA". It matches the Rfam family "Bacterial small subunit ribosomal RNA", at positions 30 to 346 of the family's 1533-position model. The record is from RNAcentral.